This 72-nucleotide transfer RNA is filed under the name Ailuropoda melanoleuca (giant panda). It matches the Rfam family "tRNA". Rfam says of the family: Transfer RNA (tRNA) molecules are approximately 80 nucleotides in length. Their secondary structure includes four short double-helical elements and three loops (D, anti-codon, and T loops). The record is from Rfam by way of RNAcentral. Lineage: Eukaryota; Metazoa; Chordata; Mammalia; Carnivora; Ursidae.
GCCUGGCUGGCUCAGUUGGUAGAGCACAAGACUGUUAAUCUCAAGGUUUGAGUUUGAGCCCCAUGUUGGGUG